UCCGCCAUCUUACUGGGCAGCAUUGGAUGGUGUCUGGUCUCUAAUACUGCCUGGUAAUGAUGACGGC
Molecule: microRNA precursor, 67 nt
Filed under: Sus scrofa (pig)
Lineage: Eukaryota; Metazoa; Chordata; Mammalia; Artiodactyla; Suidae
Description: mir-8/mir-141/mir-200 microRNA precursor family
Rfam family: mir-8/mir-141/mir-200 microRNA precursor family
About the family: The bounds of the precursors are predicted based on conservation and base pairing and are not generally known.
Source: Rfam by way of RNAcentral